UUGUACAUUAUUUUUAGUGUUAGUUCUUUAUAUAAAGUACCGUAUAAGUAUUUGUAAAUUGUUCCCAUAAAGUUACCAAGACCGCGUUUGCUACGUUUUACAAUUCGUAUAGCGUUCAUUUCUCUUUUAAGUUUUUCUUGAUACUGAUACUGUAUUUGUGGUGAGGUAUUAAAAUGUUGAGUUUGUUUAAUAAGUUCUUCAUAAGUAGUUUUUAGUUUUUAGUUAAGUUAAUAGAUAAGUAAUGAUUUUCGUGGUUUGUCGGUAAAUCUAUUGAUCCGGAUUGAAAGAUUAGGUCGCCGUUUUUGGACUGGAUAGGGGUUACUUUUAGGUAUUGUGUGUUGAUUGUCGAUAGGAGGCAUAACAUGAAUAUCAUGCUCGGGAGUAGGCCUGGAAUUAUCGUUAUUAUAUUUACUUUUAUAAAUUUUCUUUUUUUUCACUUAGAUUUAUAGUGUAUCUUUCUACCUCUAUUUGUUUCUUCGAAAUGUUUAUCAUCUAUUUGUCUUAAAUUUCUUGUCUUUUUGAAUGGGUUAGUCGUUUUUGAUCUAACUAGAGGGGAUUCUUUGAAGUUUGUGUCUAUGUUAAAAUCGUGUCUAUUUUCAUUGAGUUUGUCAAUUUUGCUUACUUUAUUUUUUGAGUGUUAUAGGUAGGGGUUCCUGCAAAAAUGAAGAUAUCUGAUGGGGUUCGACCAGUUGUGUUGCGUUUUGUUUUGUGAUUGUCAAUGUAAAGUAUUUUUUUAAAUUUUAAAAUUAAAAAUUAAAAAAAAUAAAAAAUUAAAUAUUAUUAAUUUUUCAUUAACGGUUUUAAGUUUAAGUGCAAUGCACAUGAAGGCGGAGUCUUUGUCGGCUUUUAUUUCUAUGGGUUUACCCAUAUCGUUGAAUAUGCGUAAAAUAUCUCUUUUAGUUUCAAGCCAAUCUCUACUGUUUACCUCUAUCAGGAAGGCGUAUUUAGAAUAAAUGUCAAUACAUGAUAGGAAUUGUUUAUUGUUUACUAAUUAAAUAUGGUGUCCAUGACAUACUUUUCUCUGGGAGUAAAGGUUUCUGGGGUUGUUUCAAGGGUUAAUUUUGUAUUUCUAUGUUCAGUUUUAGCGAUGUUACAGAUUUCCCAUUCGUUUAUGAUGUUAUGGAUAAGUUUUUGAUAAUCAGGGUAAUAGUAAAGUUCUUUGAACUGAAGUGUGAGUUUUUCUAUACCAGGGUAUAUUAAUUCUUUAUGCGUUUUGAGAAUGAUUUCUUAAAUUGGGCGUAUGUUUGAAUGUCUAUUAGUUUACUACUAGUUUUCAUAGUUUUAGUGAAACUGUCGGGACUUAUGAUUUGACUAUACGCAUUUUGAAAUAUUUGAAAGUCGAUCUCAUCAGGAAAGUAAAUAACACUUUUCUUAGUCCAGAAGUAUUCUUUAAUGAUAUCUUUUGAAGGGUAUCAGUCAUUUCUUUAUAACUGAUUUUAAUUCUGGUUUUAUGGAAAUAUUUUAUUAUUUGGAUGUCGUCAAAAUUGUCUUUUAUGAAUUCGAAUUGUCUGUUGUAAUAAUUAAGAGGUCUUUCUGUUAUUGAAAUGUCAUUUUGGUUGUCUUCUUGUGCACAAUGCACAGUAACUGCUGUGGAAAGGGAAGCUGGGUCAUCUUCUCCUAGGAAGUUUUCCUGAAUUUCAACUCUAGAUAGAGCGUCAGCUACAUGAUUUUCUUUACCGGGUAGAUAUUGAAUAUUAUAAUCGUAUUCGUUAAGUUUUAUCUUCCAUCUCUGUAAUUUCAUAUUGGGAUCUUUUAUGUUACUUAGCCGUACAAGUGGCCUAUGAUCGCUUAAUCUGUCGAACUUUCUACCGAAUAGGUAGGUCCUGAAAUAUUUUGUUUCCCAUACUAUAGCUAAUAGUUCUUUUUAUAUUGCCGAAUAGUUAAGUUCGUGUUCGUUUAAAGUUCUGCUUGCAUAGCAGGGUGGUUUAUGCUCUUGGGAUAAUACAGUACCUAUGGCUAUAUUACUUGCGUCUGUUGUCAGCGAUAAUUUCUUUUCGAAGUUGGGGUAUAUUAGGAUUGGAUCAGACUUGAUGAGUACUUUUAGUUUCUCGAAGGCGGAAAAGUAAUCAUUAUCUUUUGUGUCAAUUACUGCUCCUUUUUUUAAUUUGGACGUCAUAGGUUUUGCUAUUUUUGCAAAAUUGGGAAUGAACUUACGGUAGAAUCCGCAGAGUCCAAGGAAUGUGGUUUUAGGAAUAGGAAAAUUAAUAAUUGUUAGGGUUUGGUUUUAUAGCGUCUGUUGUGAUAAUGUGACCGAGAAAUUCUGUUUCUUUAUUCAGAAAUUCACAUUUAUCAACUUCCAAUUUUAGAUUGUGUUCUUCCAAUGAAGUGGAAUAAAUGAUUAUAUCAUCUAAAUAAACUAAACAAAUUAAAUUAAGUCUUCUAGAAGAUUGCUCAUGCAGCGUUGAAAUGUUGGUGGUGCAUUUUUUAUACCAAAAGUCAUACGAGUAUAUUCGUAAUGUACAUGUUUUGUUGAAAAUGCUGUUUUGGAUAUUGAUUGCUGGUCCAUUUGAAUUUGAUGGAAACCUUUAGUUAGAUCAAUGGUUGUGAGGUAUUGAGAGCGUCCAAGCUUCUCUAAUAUUUCGUCCAUUACUGGAAUAGGGAAUUUGUCGUCAAUGGUUAUUUCAUUGAGAUAGUCUAUGACUAAUCGAAAUUUUGGUUUGCCAGAAGCAUCACUUCUCUUUGGCACAAUCCAAAUGGGAGAACAAUAGGGGGAUUUAGAUUUCCUAAUUAUGUUUUGUUCUAUCAUUUCUUUGAUUUGCCUGUUGACUUCUUGAUCAAACGCUUGGGGAUAUUUAUAUGGUUUUUUAUAGAUAGGGUCUUCGUGUUUUGUAUGAAUGACAUGUUUGUGAAGGCCAAAGUUUCACCUUCUUUGUACUGAAUAUCACGGUAUUCAAGCAAAACGUGGGAAAGUUGCCUUUCUUCUGUAUUUAGAUGUUCUAAUUUAAAUACGUUCGAUUUUCUUAACUCGUCAUCUAAGUCGUAGUUAGAGGAUGUUACUAGAAAGGCUUCUUCUAUGUAUGGGGUGAUAAGAGGGUUUUCCUCAGAUCCCAUUUACAGUAUAAAAGCUUAAAUAUUGCAAAGCUCCAAAUAGAACUUGUUAAAUAAAAUUGGCAACUGUCGGGCUUCGUGAUUAAACUAAAUAUUUUACAACGGACGAAGCUAUUCUAUCCUCCUAGAUCAGCUUUGACUAAGUCUGUUAAGCACCAUUCAAAUCUGUACUCUAUGAAAACUCUUCUCCUCGGAAGGCAUACCUACUUUUAAUGAGUUAUAUUUUUAUGUCUUUUUCCAGGAAGUUCGAAACGGCUUGAGUUACAUAUCCAUAAGUCUACAUAAUUAGCUUUAAAAACUUCCACUUCCACAGAUUCUUUUAUAUUUUAAAUUCUUUGAGUAAUUUUACUCUCCAGAAUCCAUAAUCUAAGCACCCAACAUAACAUAAAAAAACUGUUGUUUUACGAAAGAUUUAAAUACGCAAUUUUUUAGAAGCUACCUAUAAGAUAUUACCAUUAUUACCUAUAAUUAUAAUUAAUUAUUAAUUAAUAAUUAUUAAUAAUUAUGAUUAUAUUACUUACUCAUGAACUCGUUAAUAUUUGAUAAUAAUCGUAGACUAUAAAAAAAUUUAUAUGAUAAUUAAGCUUUGUUUAUAUUUAAAUGAAUAUUUUGAAUUCCCGA
Molecule: long non-coding RNA, 3669 nt
Organism: Drosophila sechellia
Lineage: Eukaryota; Metazoa; Arthropoda; Insecta; Diptera; Drosophilidae
Exons: 2
Source: RefSeq, a predicted model, not a curated record